Molecule: non-coding RNA, 32 nt
Filed under: Mus musculus (house mouse)
Lineage: Eukaryota; Metazoa; Chordata; Mammalia; Rodentia; Muridae
Source: RNAcentral
UCGAGUAUACAGCUAGAGAUGAAAUGCAAACC